UGCGGGGUGGAUCAGUGGCGAACGGGUGAGUAACACGUGAGCAACCUGCCCCUGACUCUGGGAUAAGCGCUGGAAACGGCGUCUAAUACUGGAUACGAGACGUGAUCGCAUGGUCAACGUUUGGAAAGAUUUUUCGGUUGGGGAUGGGCUCGCGGCCUAUCAGCUUGUUGGUGAGGUAAUGGCUCACCAAGGCGUCGACGGGUAGCCGGCCUGAGAGGGUGACCGGCCACACUGGGACUGAGACACGGCCCAGACUCCUACGGGAGGCAGCAGUGGGGAAUAUUGCACAAUGGGCGCAAGCCUGAUGCAGCAACGCCGCGUGAGGGAUGACGGCCUUCGGGUUGUAAACCUCUUUUAGCAGGGAAGAAGCGAGAGUGACGGUACCUGCAGAAAAAGCACCGGCUAACUACGUGCCAGCAGCCGCGGUAAUACGUAGGGUGCAAGCGUUAUCCGGAAUUAUUGGGCGUAAAGAGCUCGUAGGCGGUUUGUCGCGUCUGCUGUGAAAUCUGGGGGCUCAACCCCCAGCCUGCAGUGGGUACGGGCAGACUAGAGUGCGGUAGGGGAGAUUGGAAUUCCUGGUGUAGCGGUGGAAUGCGCAGAUAUCAGGAGGAACACCGAUGGCGAAGGCAGAUCUCUGGGCCGUAACUGACGCUGAGGAGCGAAAGGGUGGGGAGCAAACAGGCUUAGAUACCCUGGUAGUCCACCCCGUAAACGUUGGGAACUAGUUGUGGGGUCCAUUCCACGGAUUCCGUGACGCAGCUAACGCAUUAAGUUCCCCGCCUGGGGAGUACGGCCGCAAGGCUAAAACUCAAAGGAAUUGACGGGGACCCGCACAAGCGGCGGAGCAUGCGGAUUAAUUCGAUGCAACGCGAAGAACCUUACCAAGGCUUGACAUAUACGAGAACGGGCCAGAAAUGGUCAACUCUUUGGACACUCGUAAACAGGUGGUGCAUGGUUGUCGUCAGCUCGUGUCGUGAGAUGUUGGGUUAAGUCCCGCAACGAGCGCAACCCUCGUUCUAUGUUGCCAGCACGUAAUGGUGGGAACUCAUGGGAUACUGCCGGGGUCAACUCGGAGGAAGGUGGGGAUGACGUCAAAUCAUCAUGCCCCUUAUGUCUUGGGCUUCACGCAUGCUACAAUGGCCGGUACAAUGGGCUGCAAUACCGUGAGGUGGAGCGAAUCCCAAAAAGCCGGUCCCAGUUCGGAUUGAGGUCUGCAACUCGACCUCAUGAAGUCGGAGUCGCUAGUAAUCGCAGAUCAGCAACGCUGCGGUGAAUACGUUCCCGGGUCUUGUACACACCGCCCGUCAAGUCAUGAAAGUCGGUAACACCUG
This 1331-nucleotide ribosomal RNA is filed under the name Microbacterium sp. Its description in RNAcentral is "bacterial SSU rRNA". It matches the Rfam family "Bacterial small subunit ribosomal RNA", at positions 81 to 1423 of the family's 1533-position model. The record is from RNAcentral. Lineage: Bacteria; Bacillati; Actinomycetota; Actinomycetes; Micrococcales; Microbacteriaceae.